CCCUUAGAUGUUCGGGGCCGCACGCGCGCUACACUGAAGGACUCAGCGUGUCUCUCCCCCUAUCCCGAAAGGGAUGGGCAACCCGUUGAACCUCCUUCGUGCUAGGGAUUGGGGUUUGCAAUUAUCCCCCAUGAACGAGGAAUUCCCAGUAAGCGCGAGUCAUCAGCUCGCGUUGAUUACGUCCCUGCCCUUUGUACACACCGCCCGUCGCUCCUACCGAUUGAAUGCUCAGGUGAGCCAUUCGGACUUUCAUCAUGCUGGUUUCCAGUUUUGAUGAAGGAAAGUCUUGCGAACCUUAUCAUUUAGAGGAAGGAGAAGUCGUAACA
RNAcentral lists this ribosomal RNA (326 nucleotides) under uncultured eukaryote. Its description in RNAcentral is "partial 18S ribosomal RNA". It matches the Rfam family "Eukaryotic small subunit ribosomal RNA", at positions 1470 to 1796 of the family's 1831-position model. The record is from RNAcentral.